ACAGUUGUCCGCCAAAGACACAGCAGACGCUCCACUGGUGGCCCGCUCAGCACACCCUCAACCAACAAUGAACAAGUACUUGGCUUUAUUCGUGGUGUUGGCGGCCCUGGUGGCGGUGAGCGUGGCCGUGCCGUACCCCGCGCCGUACCCAGUCGCCGCCCCCGCUGCCGCCCCCGCCGCCGCCGCUCCCGCUGCCAAGGAGUCGCUCAAGGGCCAGGAGGCGUUCUACUUGGGCUACGCGGGGUACCCCUACGUGUAUGGCGGGCCGGUCGCCUACUUUGGUUGAGCUCCCACCCCGGGCCAAAUACUACAUGGACACCGAUCUUGCUACUCACCAUGACUACACAACUGCUCAACAUCACCGCUUCCUCUCUUCGCUACCAGCGUACGCUUCCAUCUAUUGUAUCUCUAUCAGUGCCAUCUUGUGUAAUAAACGUUUAUAGUUAAAUACA
This is a long non-coding RNA of Schistocerca serialis cubense, 452 nucleotides long. RefSeq lists it as uncharacterized. The record is from RefSeq and is a predicted model, not a curated record. The transcript has 2 exons. Lineage: Eukaryota; Metazoa; Arthropoda; Insecta; Orthoptera; Acrididae.